Molecule: non-coding RNA, 1710 nt
Organism: Urocitellus parryii (Arctic ground squirrel)
Lineage: Eukaryota; Metazoa; Chordata; Mammalia; Rodentia; Sciuridae
Source: RefSeq, a predicted model, not a curated record
CCCAGUGCCCUGAGCAUGCCAGGCAAGCACACUACCGCCUGAGCCACAUCCCCAGCCCCCUGCCCUGGGUUCUUUCCUUGACCAGUUUGCAAACAUAUCAGAACUGAUCCAUACCUGCAAGCCCCAUCCCUCCCAGGGAGAAGCCCCAGCUUGACAGGUGCAAAGUCCAGAGUGCUGGGCCACAGGAAAUACCAGAGCCCAAGGUCUUCCCAGGACUGGCAGCUCGGAUGGCUUCAGGGGCAGAAAUAACCUGAGCCCGCUGCCCUUUCCCUCUUGGGAGUGACUCAGCUAGAAGCCSAGGACAGAAACACCACGCAGCGCCGCCUUGGCCGUGGGUUGUGUGUGGAGAGGAACAGGGGCAAUCGCAGGGGUGAGCACCGAAAAGAUGCUCAGCCUCACUGAGGGUAGGAGAAGUGCACCGAAGCCACACCACACCCCAUUGUCCACCGAGCCACUUGGCAAAGAGGAAGGCUGGUGAUGCGCCCAGUUGGCACCGGCGGGAAGAGACGCUCGGCUCCGCCACAGCGCUGUAAGCUGAUCCGUCCUCUGCGGAGGCCACCCAGCAGUGCCCACCAAGGACACAGACUUUGACCCAGCAAACCCACUUCUAGAAAGGCCACAUCCAGCUACGUGGGUGCCUUUSUGAAAUGGCCGAGCUGGGCGUGUAUACCUGAUGAAGGGCUGCAGGUGCCCUCCACCGGACGGGGUCCACACUUGGGCCAUGCGCCUGGGUGGAGCAAAGAACCAGAGCCAGGGCGGCAUGGGAGAGUCCUGAGGGCUGCAGUCACUAUGUCCCCAUGUCCACCCAGAACAUCAUCCAGACCACGGUGUAUACUGGCCUAGACCAACUGUCAGUGGGUGGCAUCAAAUUCUGAGUCCUCUGCAUSAGGUUGCUUAUUAGUCCAUGCUGAGGUUCCCCCUUGGGAAUCCCGCCUGUAAGAGUCGUCCCAGCGUCUGGGUGCCCGAAGUUCAUUGCUCUGUUACUGCGUGGUGUCUGCCGUCUGGGCCUGCCAGGGUUUGUGCAUGCGUUCAUUCACUGAAGGACAUUGGGGUUUUUCCCAGGUUUGGGUGACUGUGAAUAGAGCUGCUCUAGAUAUUUGUGCAAAGGCUUUUAUGAGAACCAAAGUUUUCAUUUUUCCAGGGCAAUGUUCUCAAUAGGAGGCAGUUGGCCCCCCGGAAGCAGCUGGCAAGCCCUCAAAGCAUUUUUGACUGUCACAAGGUGGGGGUGCUGCUGGCUCUAGAGGGUAGAGGUCGGGGAGGCAGCUCUACACCUUAGACYCAGAGGACAGCCCCAGGGCGAUCAAGGAUCUGGCCCCAAGUAUCCGUGGUGCUCAGGCUGAGGAUCCCUGCUGGGGGGGGGCACCUGGGGCUGAGCCCGCUGGUGGGUUGAGCUCUAUAGGGAAUCUACAGACCAUCUUCCAGAUGCCUCUACCCCCCCCAACACACACACACACACUUUUCUUUUUCUCCCAGGGCUCAGGGAUUGGAUGCAGCAUGCUGGGCAAGAGCUCUACCACUGAGCUUCACCCAGCCCGAGUUGACCAUGUCGCAUCCCCGACAAGCAGGCCUCUGGGUUCUGGGAGACUCUCAUCUCUGCCGGGGCCUGCUGCUGCUGUGGGUCUUCUUAUUUGAGUCAUUACAAUGGGCGUGUAAGUGAUGGCUUAUCACAGUUUUAAUUUGCAUUUCCUUAGUGGCUAAUGAUGUUGAAUA